AGCGAACGCUGGCGGCAUGCCUAACACAUGCAAGUCGAACGAACUCUUCGGAUUUAGUGGCGGACGGGUGAGUAACACGUGGGAACGUGCCUUUAGGUUUGGAAUAACUCAUGGAAACUUGUGCUAAUACCGAAUGUGCCCUUCGGUGGAAAGUUUUAUCGCCUUUAGAGCGGCCCGCGUCUGAUUAGCUAGUUGGUGAGAUAAAGGCUAACCAAGGAGACGAUCAGUAGCUGGUCUGAGAGGAUGAUCAGCCACAUUGGGACUGAGACACGGCCCAAACUCCUACGGGAGGCAGCAGUGGGGAAUCUUGCGCAAUGGGCGAAAGCCUAACGCAGCCAUGCCGCGUGAAUGAUGAAGGUCUUAGGAUUGUAAAAUUCUUUGUCCGGGGACGAUAAUGACGGUAACCGGAGAAGAAGCCCCGGCUAACUUCGUG
This 433-nucleotide ribosomal RNA is filed under the name uncultured bacterium. RNAcentral describes it as "partial 16S ribosomal RNA". It matches the Rfam family "Bacterial small subunit ribosomal RNA", at positions 29 to 507 of the family's 1533-position model. The record is from RNAcentral.